AGGAGAGCUUGCUCUCUGGGUGGCGAGUGGCGGACGGGUGAGGAAUACAUCGGAAUCUACUCUGUCGUGGGGGAUAACGUAGGGAAACUUACGCUAAUACCGCAUACGACCUACGGGUGAAAGCAGGGGACCUUCGGGCCUUGCGCGAUUGAAUGAGCCGAUGUCGGAUUAGCUAGUUGGCGGGGUAAAGGCCCACCAAGGCGACGAUCCGUAUCUGGUCUGAGAGGAUGAUCAGCCACACUGGAACUGAGACACGGUCCAGACUCCUACGGGAGGCAGCAGUGGGGAAUAUUGGACAAUGGGCGCAAGCCUGAUCCAGCCAUACCGCGUGGGUGAAGAAGGCCUUCGGGUUGUAAAGCCCUUUUGUUGGGAAAGAAAUCCAGCUGGCUAAUACCCGGUUGGGAUGACGGUACCCAAAGAGUAAGCACCGGCUAACUUCUUGCCAGCAGCCGCGGUAAUACGAAGGGUGCAAGCGUUACUCGGAAUUACUGGGCGUAAAGCGUGCGUAGGUGGUCGUUUAAGUCCGUUGUGAAAGCCCUGGGCUCAACCUGGGAACUGCAGUGGAUACUGGGCGACUAGAAUGUGGUAUAGGGUAGCGGA
This 600-nucleotide ribosomal RNA is filed under the name Stenotrophomonas sp. 42. RNAcentral describes it as "bacterial SSU rRNA". It matches the Rfam family "Bacterial small subunit ribosomal RNA", at positions 72 to 665 of the family's 1533-position model. The record is from RNAcentral. Lineage: Bacteria; Pseudomonadati; Pseudomonadota; Gammaproteobacteria; Lysobacterales; Lysobacteraceae.